GACGAACGCUGGCGGCGUGCUUAACACAUGCAAGUCGAACGGAAAGGCCCCUUUGGGGGUCCUCGAGUGGCGAACGGGUGAGUAACACGUGAGUAACCUGCCCUUGACUUCGGGAUAACUUCAGGAAACUGGGGCUAAUACCGGAUAGGAAUCCUUGCUGCAUGGUGGGGGUUGGAAAGCUUCGGCGGUUUUGGAUGGACUCGCGGCUUAUCAGCUUGUUGGUGGGGUAGUGGCUUACCAAGGCUUUGACGGGUAGCCGGCCUGAGAGGGCGACCGGCCACAUUGGGACUGAGAUACGGCCCAGACUCCUACGGGAGGCAGCAGUGGGGAAUAUUGCACAAUGAGCGGAAGCCUGAUGCAGCAACGCCGCGUGCGGGAUGACGGCCUUCGGGUUGUAAACCGCUUUCAGCAGGGGCGAAGCUUUUGUGACGGUACCUGCAGAAGAAGCACCGGCUAACUACGUG
This 464-nucleotide ribosomal RNA is filed under the name uncultured bacterium. Its description in RNAcentral is "partial 16S ribosomal RNA". It matches the Rfam family "Bacterial small subunit ribosomal RNA", at positions 28 to 507 of the family's 1533-position model. The record is from RNAcentral.